AGUGACCGCUGGCGGUAGGCCUAACACAUGCAAGUCGAACGGCAGCACAGUAAGAGCUUGCUCUUACGGGUGGCGAGUGGCGGACGGGUGAGGAAUACAUCGGAAUCUACUUUUUCGUGGGGGAUAACGUAGGGAAACUUACGCUAAUACCGCAUACGACCUACGGGUGAAAGCAGGGGAUCUUCGGACCUUGCGCGAUUGAAUGAGCCGAUGUCGGAUUAGCUAGUUGGCGGGGUAAAGGCCCACCAAGGCGACGAUCCGUAGCUGGUCUGAGAGGAUGAUCAGCCACACUGGAACUGAGACACGGUCCAGACUCCUACGGGAGGCAGCAGUGGGGAAUAUUGGACAAAGGGCGCAAGCCUGAUCCAGCCAUACCGCGUGGGUGAAGAAGGCCUUCAGGUUGUAAAGCCCUUUUGUUGGGAAAGAAAAGCAGCAGGUUAAUACCCCGCUGUUCUGACGGUACCCAAAGAAUAAGCACCGGCUAACUUCGUG
This 492-nucleotide ribosomal RNA is filed under the name uncultured bacterium. RNAcentral's name for it is "partial 16S ribosomal RNA". It matches the Rfam family "Bacterial small subunit ribosomal RNA", at positions 29 to 507 of the family's 1533-position model. The record is from RNAcentral.